RNAcentral lists this transfer RNA (69 nucleotides) under Penaeus sp. 1 SPS-2018. RNAcentral's name for it is "tRNA-Met". It matches the Rfam family "tRNA". From Rfam's summary of the family: Transfer RNA (tRNA) molecules are approximately 80 nucleotides in length. Their secondary structure includes four short double-helical elements and three loops (D, anti-codon, and T loops). Further hydrogen bonds mediate the characteristic L-shaped molecular structure. tRNAs have two regions of fundamental functional importance: the anti-codon, which is responsible for specific mRNA codon recognition, and the 3' end, to which the tRNAs corresponding amino acid is attached (by aminoacyl-tRNA synthetases). tRNAs cope with the degeneracy of the genetic code in two manners: having more than one tRNA (with a specific anti-codon) for a particular amino acid; and 'wobble' base-pairing, i.e. permitting non-standard base-pairing at the 3rd anti-codon position. The record is from RNAcentral. Lineage: Eukaryota; Metazoa; Arthropoda; Malacostraca; Decapoda; Penaeidae.
AAAAAGAUAAGCUAAGUAAGCUAGUGGGCUCAUACCCCAUUUAUGAGGGUCUAACUCCCUCUCUUUUUA